UUUUUCACUGACCCGCGGCUUUCGGUCUACGUUCAUUCAGUUGGCCAAUGAAAUUGGCUUAUGUAAAAUCACUGCCAUUAACGUAGUGACAUAAAAAUCAACGGAAGAUAAGAGUGGUCGUAUGGUCAUGGGUCCAGCGUUAAGGUCUCCAAUUAACACUGAUUAAAACGGAUGACUCGGGACCUACCUUAAGAAAUUUUCAAUGUCUUUCCUAAUUACUGCUACUUACUGUUUUUAGAGUUUAUAUAAGUUUAUUUAAUACUGAACUCAAUUGUCCUUUUGAAGCUCGCAAUAAUAAGAAAUUUUAGUAAACGGAUAAGUACUAAAAAUAAAGUACGGGUAUUUACUUAGAUAUUUAUACAUAUAUUUUAAUACAUUUUAACGAAAACGUUCGUUUCUGUUAAGCAUAAGUAAUACAUAUUGAAUUCGACGUAUUGCAUUUUUUAGAAAACAGUUUUUACUGCAAAGUCGUCAUACGAACUAAGAGAUCCAAGGAAUGAUCUUAGAUUAAUGAAAAAAUUGAAAAUUGGAAAAACUUUAUUGCAAAGGAGUCUGAAAUCAUAGAAAGUCUAAUGUCAUCCAUGUAAAUAUUGUUUAAUUUUUUUAAUUCGUUUAAAAAUUUAAGUACAAUAUAUGAAAAUUGCUAUGGAAUGAGAUGUAUAUGAGUAUUUGUUUAUUUGUUUAUUAAAGUAU
Molecule: non-coding RNA, 693 nt
Organism: Drosophila melanogaster (fruit fly)
Lineage: Eukaryota; Metazoa; Arthropoda; Insecta; Diptera; Drosophilidae
Source: Ensembl